Molecule: ribosomal RNA, 1440 nt
Filed under: uncultured organism
Description: bacterial SSU rRNA
Rfam family: Bacterial small subunit ribosomal RNA
Source: RNAcentral
AGAGUUUGAUCCUGGCUCAGGGUUAACGCUGGCGGUAUGUUUAAUACAUGCAAGUUGUGCGCAAUUUUUUUAAAAUUGAGCGGCGAACGGGUGAGUAACACGUUGGAACCUGCCCCGGACUCAGGGAUAACCUGCCGAAAGGUUUGGUUAAUACCGGAUAGUCCCGCAAGGGUAAAGCUUUUGCGGUCCGGGAGGGGCCUGCGGCCUAUCAGCUUGUUGGUAAGGUAAAGGCUUACCAAGGCUAUGACGCGUACCUGGUGUGAGAGCACGACCAGGCAGAAUGGGACUGAGACACGGCCCAUACUCCUACGGGAGGCAGCAGUGAGGAAUCUUCCACAAUGGACGAAAGUCUGAUGGAGCCAUACCGCGUGUAGGAUGACACCUUUCGGGGCGUAAACUACUUUUCUGAAGGAAGACAUUCUGACGGUACUUCAGGAAUAAGCGUCGGCUAACUACGUGCCAGCAGCCGCGGUAAUACGUAGGACGCAAGCGUUAUCCGGAAUCACUGGGCGUAAAGCGAUCGAAGGCGGAUCUGUAAGUCCGAUGUUAAAUACCCACGGCUCAACCGGGGUGCUGCAUUGGAAACUGUAGAACUAGAGGAAUGCAAGGGUAACUGGAAUUUUCAUUGUAGGGGUUAAAUCCGUAGAUAAUGAAAGGAACACCAAAAGCGAAGGCAUGUUACUGGGCAUUUCCUGACGCUGCGCGAUCGAAAGCGUGGGGAGCGAAAGGGAUUAGAUACCCCUGUAGUCCACGCCGUAAACGAUGGAUACUCGGCGUUCGGAUUUUAAUCGAUCUGAGUGCCCAAGCUAACGCGUUAAGUAUCCCGCCUGGGAAGUACGGCCGCAAGGCUAAAACUCAAAGGAAUAGACGGGGAUCCACACAAGCGGUGGAGCAUGUGGUUUAAUUCGACAAUAAGCGGGGAACCUUACCAGGACUUGACAUCUUUGGAAUUUUCUAGAAAUAGAAAAGUGCCUUCGGGAACCGAAUGACAGGUGUUGCAUGGUUGUCGUCAGCUCGUGCCUUGAGGUGUUCGGUUAAGUCCGUUAACGAGCGCAACCCUCGCCGUAUGUUAAAUUGUUCAUACGGGACUGCCAGUUUUACACUGGAGGAAGGUGAGGAUGACGUCAAAUCAGCAUGGCCCUUAUGUCCUGGGCGACACACGUGCUACAAUGGCUGGUACAAAGGGCAGCGAAGUCGUAAGGCGGAGCAAAUCCCAUAAAACCAGUCUUAGUUCGGAUUGAGGGCUGCAACUCGCCCUCAUGAAGCUGGAAUCGCUAGUAACCGUAGAUCAGCCAUGCUACGGUGAAUAUGUUCCUGGAUCUUGUACUCACCGCCCGUCAAGUCAUGAAAGACAGGGGCGCCCGAAGUCGCGUUAUCCGCCUCGGUGGAGCGUGCCUAAGGUGAAACUGUUGAUUGGGACUAAGUCGUAACAAGGUAACC